RNAcentral lists this ribosomal RNA (253 nucleotides) under uncultured bacterium. RNAcentral's name for it is "partial 16S ribosomal RNA". It matches the Rfam family "Bacterial small subunit ribosomal RNA", at positions 524 to 776 of the family's 1533-position model. The record is from RNAcentral.
UACGAAGGGGGCUAGCGUUGCUCGGAAUUACUGGGCGUAAAGGGCGCGUAGGCGGCUCUGUUAGUCAGGCGUGAAAUUCCUGGGCUCAACCUGGGGACUGCGCUUGAUACGGCGGAGCUAGAGGAUGGAAGAGGCUCACGGAAUUCCCAGUGUAGAGGUGAAAUUCGUAGAUAUUGGGAAGAACACCGGUGGCGAAGGCGGCGAGCUGGUCCAUUACUGACGCUGAGGCGCGACAGCGUGGGGAGCAAACAGG